RNAcentral lists this ribosomal RNA (492 nucleotides) under uncultured bacterium. RNAcentral's name for it is "partial 16S ribosomal RNA". It matches the Rfam family "Bacterial small subunit ribosomal RNA", at positions 29 to 507 of the family's 1533-position model. The record is from RNAcentral.
AGUGAACGCUGGCGGUGGGCUUAACACAUGGAAGUCGAACGGCGAAGCGGUAAGAGUUUUCUUUAACGGGGGGGGGUGGCGGACGGGUGAGGAAAACCUUCGGAACCUACUUUUUCGUGGGGGAUAACGUAGGGAAACUUAGGCUAAUACGGCAUAUUCCCACCGGGUGAAAUCAGGGGACUUUGGAACCUUGUGCGUUGGAGGGGGCUGAGGUCGCGUCAGCUAGUUGGGGGGGUGAAGUCCCACCAAGCCGACGCUCCGUAGCGGGUCUGAUCGGAUGAUCAGCCACACUGGUACUGAGACACGGUGGAGACUCCUACGGGAGGCAGCAGUGGGGAAUAUUGGAGAAUGGGCGCAAGACUGAUCCAGCCAUACCGCGUGGGUGAAGAAGGCCUUCGGGUUGUAAAGCCCUUUUGUUGGGAAAGAAAAGCAGCAGGUUAAUACCCCGCUGUUCUGACGGUACCCAAAGAAUAAGCACCGGCUAACUUCGUG